This 66-nucleotide transfer RNA is filed under the name Haplothrips aculeatus. RNAcentral's name for it is "tRNA-Phe". Lineage: Eukaryota; Metazoa; Arthropoda; Insecta; Thysanoptera; Phlaeothripidae. The record is from RNAcentral.
AUUUAUUUAGCUUAAAUUUUAAAGCGUUAUAUUGAAGAUAUAAAAAUAAUUUAUAAUUAAUAAAUA